UACGUAGGGAGCAAGCGUUGUCCGGAAUCAUUGGGCGUAAAGCGCGCGUAGGUGGCCCCAUAAGUCCGCUGUGAAAGUCAAAGGCUCAACCUUUGAAAGCCGGUGGAUACUGUGGGACUAGAGUACGGAAGAGGCGAGUGGAAUUCCUGGUGUAGCGGUGAAAUGCGCAGAUAUCAGGAGGAACACCGGUGGCGAAGGCGGGUCUCUGGGCCGAUAUCGACGCUGAGGAGCGAAAGCGUGGGGAGCGAACAGG
This 253-nucleotide ribosomal RNA is filed under the name uncultured bacterium. RNAcentral describes it as "partial 16S ribosomal RNA". It matches the Rfam family "Bacterial small subunit ribosomal RNA", at positions 524 to 776 of the family's 1533-position model. The record is from RNAcentral.